RNAcentral lists this long non-coding RNA (397 nucleotides) under Astyanax mexicanus (Mexican tetra). Its description in RNAcentral is "lncRNA (ENSAMXG00005022354.1)". Lineage: Eukaryota; Metazoa; Chordata; Actinopteri; Characiformes; Acestrorhamphidae. The record is from RNAcentral.
GCUCAGGCUGCUCGGUAUAUCAGCCCUGGCCUUUUCUCGUGUGACCCCUCUGGAUCUGCGGAUUGACUUUCACCAAGCUGCCCCAGGAGUUGGCCAACGUGUGGGCCCGCUGCCACCCACGCACUAGCGGAGGUAGAGCGGCAGCAAUAUCGUUCAUCUAUUCAUCACCACUCUGUAAGACAGCUGUAGCUAUGAGCGGAGAGAGGCCCGUAGGAAACAUGUGGCAAACCCUUGCACAAAAGCUGCAGUGUGGAGGAGCAGAUGAAGUCCUAAAAUUGCUGCUGAGCAACUUUCAUUCUCGUCAUUCUUGGCAGGCAAUGAUAAGGGUCCAGAUAAGAAUCCUGGUGAUAAUAUAGCUAAGAUAUUUUACUGCACUAUAUAGGGAACUCAACUUGUC